Molecule: ribosomal RNA, 541 nt
Filed under: Dujonia zeylanoides
Lineage: Eukaryota; Fungi; Ascomycota; Pichiomycetes; Serinales; Debaryomycetaceae
Description: [Candida] zeylanoides partial large subunit ribosomal RNA
Rfam family: Eukaryotic large subunit ribosomal RNA
Source: RNAcentral
UACGGCGAGUGAGCGGCAAAAGCUCAAAUUUGAAAUCUAGCACUUUCAGUGUUCGAGUUGUAAUUUGAAGAAGGUAACUUUGGUUUUGGCUCUUGUCUAUGUUCCUUGGAACAGGACGUCACAGAGGGUGAGAAUCCCGUGCGAUGAGAUGCCCAAUUCCAUGUAAAGUGCUUUCGAAGAGUCGAGUUGUUUGGGAAUGCAGCUCUAAGUGGGUGGUAAAUUCCAUCUAAAGCUAAAUAUUGGCGAGAGACCGAUAGCGAACAAGUACAGUGAUGGAAAGAUGAAAAGAACUUUGAAAAGAGAGUGAAAAAGUACGUGAAAUUGUUGAAAGGGAAGGGCUUGAGAUCAGACUUGGUAUUUUGCGUUCCCUUCCUUUUUGGUUGGGUUCCUCGCAGUUUACUGGGCCAGCAUCGGGUUUGGAUGGUAGGAUAAUGACAUUGGAAUGUAGCUUUACUUCGGUGAAGUGUUAUAGACUUUGUUGAUACUGCCUAUCUGGACCGAGGACUGCGUCUUUGACUAGGAUGCUGGCGUAAUGAUCUUU